This 63-nucleotide transfer RNA is filed under the name Neilupotamon sinense. RNAcentral describes it as "tRNA-His". Lineage: Eukaryota; Metazoa; Arthropoda; Malacostraca; Decapoda; Potamidae. The record is from RNAcentral.
UUCAGGUAGUUUAAAUAAAAAUAUUGGUUUGUGGUGUCAAAGAAGUAAUAAUUAUUCUGAAUU